GACAGAGGUGGCGAGCGUUGUUCGGAUUUACUGGGCGUAAAGGGCGCGUAGGCGGUUGUAUGUGUCAGAUGUGAAAUCCCAAGGCUUAACCUUGGAAUUGCAUUUGAAACUAUACGACUUGAGGACAGGAGGGGGAAGCGGAAUUCCCGGUGUAGCGGUGAAAUGCGUAGAUAUCGGGAAGAACACCGGUGGCGAAGGCGGCUUCCUGGACUGUUUCUGACGCUGAGGCGCGAAAGCGUGGGUAGCAAACAGG
RNAcentral lists this ribosomal RNA (253 nucleotides) under uncultured bacterium. RNAcentral describes it as "partial 16S ribosomal RNA". It matches the Rfam family "Bacterial small subunit ribosomal RNA", at positions 524 to 776 of the family's 1533-position model. The record is from RNAcentral.